This 567-nucleotide ribosomal RNA is filed under the name Kyphosus sydneyanus (silver drummer). RNAcentral's name for it is "partial 16S ribosomal RNA". It matches the Rfam family "Bacterial large subunit ribosomal RNA", at positions 1809 to 2582 of the family's 2925-position model. The record is from RNAcentral. Lineage: Eukaryota; Metazoa; Chordata; Actinopteri; Centrarchiformes; Kyphosidae.
AAAAACAUCGCCUCUUGCAAAACUGAGAAAUAAGAGGUCCCGCCUGCCCUGUGACUAUAUGUUUAACGGCCGCGGUAUUUUGACCGUGCGAAGGUAGCGCAAUCACUUGUCUUUUAAAUGGAGACCUGUAUGAAUGGCAUAACGAGGGCUUAGCUGUCUCCUUUUUCAAGUCAAUGAAAUUGAUCUCCCCGUGCAGAAGCGGGGAUAACACCAUAAGACGAGAAGACCCUAUGGAGCUUUAGACACCAAGGCAGAUCAUGUUAAACACCCCUUCACAAAGGACCAAACCAGAUGAACCCUGCCCUAAUGUCUUUGGUUGGGGCGACCGCGGGGAAACAAAAAACCCCCACGUGGAAUGGGAAUACCCCUCCUACAACUAAGAGCUCCCGCUCUAAUGACCAGAAUUUCUGACCAAUCAGAUCCGGCAACGCCGAUCAACGGACCGAGUUACCCUAGGGAUAACAGCGCAAUCCCCUUUUAGAGCCCAUAUCGACAAGGGGGUUUACGACCUCGAUGUUGGAUCAGGACAUCCUAAUGGUGCAGCCGCUAUUAAGGGUUCGUUUGUUC